RNAcentral lists this long non-coding RNA (1690 nucleotides) under Anser brachyrhynchus (Pink-footed goose). RNAcentral describes it as "lncRNA (ENSABRG00000004803.1)". The record is from RNAcentral. Lineage: Eukaryota; Metazoa; Chordata; Aves; Anseriformes; Anatidae.
UUCCACGAGGAGCACCGAGAGGAACCGGCGGACGCCGGCGUGAAGUUGCCCCCCGAGGGCAGUGGGGUCUCGGCCCCCCCCGGCCCGUGGCUGCACCGGGCCCACCCGGGGGUCCCAGGGGCGGCCGUCGCUGAGCCCCCCCGCUCGGGGCACGCGUGGGGGGGAGCCCUCGGGGUCCCCGCACCCUUGUGGGGAACCGCACCGGAGCUUAGGAGCCUCGGGGGGACGCGGGGCCAGCCGGCGAGGUGCGAGAGGGAUUUCCUCGGGGAUGCGCGGCGCAGGGGCCGGCUGUUUCCCGGGCGAUGGGUGGGGAGAGUAGGAGGAGGAGGAGGAGGAGAAGAGGAGGAGGAGGAGGAGGGGUCCCCGCGGCUUUAUCUCCCCCCCGGCUCCGCCCGCCGCCGGCUGCCUCCUGUCGCCGCUCAGCUCCGCACCGCUCCGCUCCGCUCCGCACCGCUCCGGGCGGCGCCCAUGGGCUGCGGCAACUCCACGGCCGGCGGCGCGGGCGGGCGAGGUGCCACAGGGACUACUAAAGAUGUUACAGGAUCCAGUUAUUUUAAUUCAAAGGAUUUCUUGUUUCUUGAUGGCGAUUCAUUGCAACUCCAGGAGCCAGGUGGAUUGAGGGAGGACUGGAUUCUGCUCAGAGCCCUCCCAGGUAACCACAGAGAAGCUUUUUUGCCCUCUGAGACUUGAGUUGCUCCACUAGUAAACUGGCAACGGUGGUACGGUCUUCCUAUGCAAAGUGCUCUGAGGUUGAGGUCUGCGCAACGACAAAAAGGGCGUAUGAUCUGGGAAUGUGAUCUCUUCCUGUAUACUCCAGCCCUCAAAAACCUGUCACGCAGCUUCAGCCAACUGACAUACUAAAACAAGUACACUGUGGUAACUGGGAAAGUUUGGAUAUAAGAGGGGUAAAGUAUGUACUACAGACUAAUGCAAUGCCUAUUGUAUUCAGAAUGUGCCUGGGUUUGGAAGAAGAUUAAUAGCAGUAGGAAGGAAAGGACACAAUUCAAAACUGUUUCAAAAUAUUGGGAAGAAAUCCAUCAAAUACAAAUGACAGUCCCUUGGUCCCAAGAAAGACUGUGAAACUAAGGUGACGAAAUCUGUUGCUUGUGCAAAAUUUAAUGAAUUAUUUCUGGCGGGACUACUGAGUACUGCUAGAAGGAGCCUGUAUAAUGCCAGAGUUCAACACGAACAAAGUCAUAAAAACUGAGGUAAGAAAAAUGUGGAUGGAGUGAAUUAAUGUGAAUGCAUGUCAUUUGAUAUUUAAAAGAUUAUGUGAAAAAUGGCAGCUUUUUUGCCAUCAAAUGGGCAUAGGACUGAUGGAUGUAAAAACUGACAGCUGGAGAACUAAGAAUAUUUUUCAAACUUAAGAGGGUGACUGGAACCCUCCUGGGACAGACAAAUCCUUACCAAAAGAAACAUUUCUUCUAGCCGAAAAUAGAUGCUGUUAUAGGGAUUUGCUGUUAAAUCUGCCUACCAGCUACAGGACUCCACCUACGCCACCUGCUGAAAAAUGUGAUCUCAGUUCCUUUGCAGUAGAUGUCAACAGCAUCUGAGAGCAGAUGCAGUGACACUGCAGCAGAUCAGUGCAAAGCACAUCAGGCUGUCUGGUCCAGCCUGUUUAGUUCCUUUUGCCAUCCAUUCCUGGGGCAGAAAGGCUUAUCAUAGCUUGCUGUUCCUGGAGAACACUGUA